Molecule: ribosomal RNA, 433 nt
Filed under: uncultured bacterium
Lineage: Bacteria
Description: partial 16S ribosomal RNA
Rfam family: Bacterial small subunit ribosomal RNA
Source: RNAcentral
AACGAACGCUGGCGGCAUGCCUAACACAUGCAAGUCGAACGAGACCUUCGGGUCUAGUGGCGCACGGGUGCGUAACGCGUGGGAACCUGCCCUUAGGUUCGGAAUAACUCCCCGAAAUGGGUGCUAAUACCGGAUAAUUUCUUCGGACCAAAGAUUUAUCGCCCUUGGAUGGGCCCGCGUUGGAUUAGCUAGUUGGUAGGGUAAAAGCCUACCACGGCGACGAUCCAUAGCUGGUCUGAGAGGAUGAUCAGCCACACUGGGACUGAGACACGGCCCAGAAUAAUACGGGAGGCAGGAGUGGGGAAUAUUGGAAAACGGGCGAAAGGCUGAACCAGCAAUGGCGGGUGAGUGAUGAAGGCGGGAGGGUUGUAAAGCUCGUUUAACCGGGAUGAUAAUGACAGUACCGGGAGAAUAAGCUCCGGCUAACUCCGUG